GACGAACGCUGGCGGCGUGCUUAACACAUGCAAGUCGAACGGGAAGGCCCUGCUUCUGUGGGGUGAUCGUGUGGCGAAGGGGUGUGUCACACGUGAGUCACCUGCGCUUGACUUUGGGAUAACUUCAGGAAACUUGGUAUUAUCCCGGAUAGGCGUUCCUCUUGAAUGGUGGGUGUUGGAAGGUUUCGGCGGGUGGGGGUGGUCCCGCGGCUUAUCAGCGUGUUGGUGGGGGAGUGGCUUACCACGGCUUUGACUGGUCGCCGGGCUGAGAGGGUGAGCGGCGACACUGGGGCUGAGAUACGGCGCAGACUCCUACGGGAGGGAGCGGUGGGGAAGAUUGUACAAUGGGGGGAAGACUGAGGCAGCGACGCCGCGUGCGGGAUGACGGCCUUCUGGUUGUGAACAGCGUUUGCCGGAGAGGAAGCGUGAGUGACGGUAAUGGGAAAAGAAGCAACGGCUAACUACGUG
Molecule: ribosomal RNA, 468 nt
Filed under: uncultured bacterium
Lineage: Bacteria
Description: partial 16S ribosomal RNA
Rfam family: Bacterial small subunit ribosomal RNA
Source: RNAcentral